This 239-nucleotide unclassified non-coding RNA is filed under the name Glomeraceae sp. RNAcentral describes it as "partial contains 5.8S ribosomal RNA and internal transcribed spacer 2". The stretch from base 1 to 65 matches the Rfam family "5.8S ribosomal RNA", at positions 84 to 154 of the family's 154-position model. The record is from RNAcentral. Lineage: Eukaryota; Fungi; Glomeromycota; Glomeromycetes; Glomerales; Glomeraceae.
GUGAAUCAUCGAAUUUUUGAACGAAAAUUGCACUCUCCUCGGAGAGUAUGCCUGUUUGAGGGUCAGCAUAUAAAAAAUCGACAACGUUGAUGUUUCGAGGGGGCGUUCGUCGGAAAUUGGGUCAUCUUAAAUAUUUUGGUUUUAAGCGAAUUAAAAUUUUGUUUUUGGUUACAUGAACGUUUCUAAGAUUUAUUUCUUUACACGUUUAAGGUAUCGAUUUUUAUUAGACGUGACUAUCA